Molecule: ribosomal RNA, 301 nt
Filed under: uncultured bacterium
Lineage: Bacteria
Description: partial 16S ribosomal RNA
Rfam family: Bacterial small subunit ribosomal RNA
Source: RNAcentral
CAGCCGCCGCGGGAAUACGUAGGGUGCAAGCGUUAAUCGGAAUUACUGGGCGUAAAGCGUGCGCAGGCGGUUGUGUAAGUCUGAUGUGAAAGCCCCGGGCUCAACCUGGGAACUGCAUUUGAGACUGUAUGGCUAGAGUGUGUCAGAGGGGGGUAGAAUUCCACGUGUAGCAGUGAAAUGCGUAGAUAUGUGGAGGAAUACCGAUGGCGAAGGCAGCCCCCUGGGAUAACACUGACGCUCAUGCACGAAAGCGUGGGGAGCAAACAGGAUUAGAUACCCCGGUAGUCCCUGUCUCUUAUAC